Molecule: transfer RNA, 73 nt
Filed under: Ophiocordyceps sinensis CO18
Lineage: Eukaryota; Fungi; Ascomycota; Sordariomycetes; Hypocreales; Ophiocordycipitaceae
Description: tRNA-Tyr (GTA) (tRNA-Tyr-GTA-2-1)
Rfam family: tRNA
About the family: Transfer RNA (tRNA) molecules are approximately 80 nucleotides in length. Their secondary structure includes four short double-helical elements and three loops (D, anti-codon, and T loops).
Source: RNAcentral
CUCCGGAUAGUAUAGUGGUGAUUACGUCGGGCUGUAAACCUGAAGAUCGCGUGUUCGAUUCACGCUCUGGAGA